RNAcentral lists this long non-coding RNA (644 nucleotides) under Phoenix dactylifera (date palm). RNAcentral describes it as "long non-coding RNA (PDAC_LNC013174)". Lineage: Eukaryota; Viridiplantae; Streptophyta; Magnoliopsida; Arecales; Arecaceae. The record is from RNAcentral.
CGCCAGUAGAACUGGGCCUGAUGCACUUGCCCAGCCCAGAUGAAAGUCUUUUUAACCCAAAACAAAUAAACAAAAAAAAAUUUGGACGCACAUGUGAGGAAGGGAGUCCUCUACUCGAACGGAAUCCGACUUUAGGUCGAAUUCUGGUCACGAUUGAACCUAUUUAGGGCCCUUCCUGAUCAUCUUACCGGAGCUCACCGUUGGAGGAUUUGUUCGAAUCCCUUUUCAAAUGUUGAUUGUCAUUUGCACCAUCCCCGCAGCCGAAUGCCGCCGGGAACCAAGUAAGGACCCGGCUCCUUCGAUCUACCUUUCUUCUGAACUCCUUGGAGCUUUGAUUCUGACCGGCGAUCACCGAAUUUUUGGUAAAAAGGGAAUCUCCUUCUCGGAUACUGUCAGAAUUAAUCACCCUCGAUCUCUAUCGAACCAACUGUAUUCUAGUAUGAGCAUGAUCAGAUAAUUUUUAUGUUGAUCGGAGGGGUAUCGAACACUCCCACUAAGUAAGCCCUAUGAAGGUAUUAGAAUUUAGGAUUUUUAUUUUUAGAAUAAUCAUAAUAAAAUUCUAAUGAUAAUUUAAUUUUAAAAUAUCAUGCUAUAAGAGAAAUUUUGAAAAUUAAUUGGACCUGUUGGUUCAUUUCGCUUGCAAG